CCUACGGGAGGCAGCAGCCGCGGUAAUAUUGGACAAUGGGCGCAAGCCUGAUCCAGCCAUGCCGCGUGAGUGAUGAAGGCCCUAGGGUUGUAAAGCUCUUUCACCGGUGAAGAUAAUGACGGUAACCGGAGAAGAAGCCCCGGCUAACUUCGUGCCAGCAGCCGCGGUAAU
RNAcentral lists this ribosomal RNA (171 nucleotides) under uncultured bacterium. RNAcentral describes it as "partial 16S ribosomal RNA". It matches the Rfam family "Bacterial small subunit ribosomal RNA", at positions 338 to 524 of the family's 1533-position model. The record is from RNAcentral.